Molecule: ribosomal RNA, 603 nt
Filed under: Triticum aestivum (bread wheat)
Lineage: Eukaryota; Viridiplantae; Streptophyta; Magnoliopsida; Poales; Poaceae
Description: partial small subunit ribosomal RNA
Source: RNAcentral
GCUACCUGCAACAUUUGUGGACAUGGGACAGAAAAUGAAUAUCAUGCAGUGAUUAUGUGUACCAAGAGCAGAGCAUUAAGAGCUGCUAUGAGAGAGGUUUGGAGCUUACCUGCUGAAAACAAGUUCUGGUUCACAGGUGAAAACUGGCUGCAAGUAAUGCUGGACUCAGAAAGCGAGGAAACACGCGCCAAGAUCCUGAUGUUAAUCUGGCGAUGCUGGCAUCUCAGGGAGGACUGCGUGCGAAAUAACGGCAGAGAGACAAUCAGUAGCUCAGUGCAGUUUCUGAAAAAUUAUGAGGAAGAAUUAAGAAUGGCAGAGGCAUCAGCUGAGUGGACGAGUGGAAAGACUGCAGAAAACUUCGGCCGGAACGGAACUCUGAAUACUGCACAUCUUGUGCAUGCAGUUGAACGCUCUGAAGAAAAGUGGAUCCCGCCAGUACGAGGUACAGUUAAGAUCAACACGGACGCAACAUAUCUAGCAGAGACAGGAGAAAGCGCGGCUGGCGCAGUCGGCGAGACUACCAAGGCUCGGUCCUCAAAUCAGUCUGCAAGAAAUUGCCACUGUGCCAAAGCGUUGAGGAGGCGGAAGCUCGAGCCAUUCUGA